GGCAGUGCAGUGGGCAGCAGCAGGAACUCUGAAUUCCAGAAAAGCAGCAGAAUCGGCACAGUGAUUUGCCGGAGUGUCUAUCGGAGAAGGAAAGGUAUAUUAAGACAUGAGUACUUGUGUACUUCAUGUGUUGCCUGCUUGUCUCGCCUCUCCUCAAUUGCAAUUACAAACCAGGAGGAAGCUAUUAAACCUUCAUUCUAUCCGUCAAAAACCCUUCUUUAGAUCUCUACAGAUUGUACCCUCUGC
Molecule: unclassified non-coding RNA, 246 nt
Filed under: Hevea brasiliensis (rubber tree)
Lineage: Eukaryota; Viridiplantae; Streptophyta; Magnoliopsida; Malpighiales; Euphorbiaceae
Source: RNAcentral